GACGAACGCUGGCGGCGUGCUUAACACAUGCAAGUCGAGCGGUAAGGCCCUUCGGGGUACACGAGCGGCGAACGGGUGAGUAACACGUGGGUGACCUGCCCCCAACUCUGGGAUAAGCCCGGGAAACUGGGUCUAAUACCGGAUAUGACUCUCAGUCGCAUGAUCGAGAGUGGAAAGUUCUUCGGUUGGGGAUGGGCCCGCGGCCUAUCAGCUUGUUGGUGGGGUGAUGGCCUACCAAGGCGACGACGGGUAGCCGGCCUGAGAGGCGACCGGCCACACUGGGACUGAGACACGGCCCAGACUCCUACGGGAGGCAGCAGUGGGGAAUAUUGCGCAAUGGGCGAAAGCCUGACGCAGCGACGCCGCGUGGGGGAUGACGGCCU
This 383-nucleotide ribosomal RNA is filed under the name uncultured bacterium. RNAcentral describes it as "bacterial SSU rRNA". It matches the Rfam family "Bacterial small subunit ribosomal RNA", at positions 28 to 417 of the family's 1533-position model. The record is from RNAcentral.